CGUGUUUCAAACAGAGCUUCUACGUUUGCCGGUCGUUAUGCGUUGGUUUGUAUUUACUGCAGAUCCCCACUCCACUGGAGAAGAACUUUUGGAACACAAAGGAAAGAAAAACAUCUAGAGGGGAAAUCAUCUGUAGCCUCUUGGAAAAGAUCAUUAGAAUGCAUAUGACAGAAAGAGAAGAAUGAAGUACGGCUUAGGAAUUUUGAAGACACUGAAGCCACAUUCUCAGGCCUUAGGAAGAUCUGUAAGGAAACAAGGGAUGGGAGUGCAUAAAACGGGGAAGGAACAGGAACCCAUGAUGCAAAAUGUCCUUGUCCCUCAUUAUAAGGAAAGCCGUGUGGAAAAGCCCCAAUUCUGUUCCCAAAUUUCUGCUUCUAAAAUACUCCAGGAUGCAAGAUUUAAAUGUCAAGUUAAUUUCAUGCUCUACCUGCCUCAAGGCGAUUAGCACAAAUUAAGUGUCAUGCUACUCAACCUGAACUAUAUGACUGCAAUGCGUAUAUCACCCACAUCCACAAAAAUAUUUCUGUCAUGAAAAUAGGUAAUUUUACAGCUGCAAAAACAAAUAUACAUAAACACCUUUUAAAUAAA
Long non-coding RNA from Mauremys reevesii (Reeves's turtle), 588 nucleotides. RefSeq lists it as uncharacterized. The record is from RefSeq and is a predicted model, not a curated record. NCBI's taxonomy places the organism in Eukaryota, Metazoa, Chordata, Testudines, Geoemydidae. The transcript has 2 exons.